Molecule: long non-coding RNA, 2692 nt
Organism: Cervus elaphus (red deer)
Lineage: Eukaryota; Metazoa; Chordata; Mammalia; Artiodactyla; Cervidae
Exons: 2
Source: RefSeq, a predicted model, not a curated record
CCAAUUCUAACUGUUGCUUCCUGUCCUGCAUACAGGUUUCUCACUUGAACUAGUAUAAUCUUCUUACAGGCCUUCAGCACAAUAAGAAAGGAAAAAUGAUACACUGUCUGUGUAUACCACUUCCACAUUAUUUCCUAUCCUGUCUCUGCUCAAAUUUUCUAAUUCCAUUCAUUUACCUCAUCUGAGAAAUAAUCCUCCUUUUUCUCAGGGUUGAAUUCUCUUGGGGGAAAUUUCUUUUGGUAGAGAGUGUCUUUUUCUCAAGGAAAUCAAGAAAAAAAUAAGAUUUCCAAGGUUUUUCAAAGGGGAAAAAAUGAGAAUAAUGUGGAAGUCAGGGCAGGUAGAGAAGUGUUUUCAACAUCUAGGAUACCCAAAAACAGCAAAAACAAUUAGAAAUCAUGGCAUGGGAGGGACUGCUAAAUUAUCAAGAGCAGGAAGUCUACCAGAAUUCACCUUAAGUCUGGAUAGCUCUAGGGAAUCACUACUAAAACAAGAACUAGAAAUGUGUCUGUGAAUACCUAAGAGAUAAAUAAGAAAAGAGCUUAUAAGAAAAACUAAGCUUACAUUUCAGUAUAGACCAGGUAAUAAAAGAUAGACUUCUUGAUUCUUAUAUUUCCUUGAACCUUUUAAACUUCCUCCACAUGUAUUACCAAUGACACACUCUUUUCCUUGGGAAUCUAUGACACCAGAUUCCCCUAGCUUUCCUCCUUCCUUAUUAGCUGCUUCUCAGUCUCCUUCUGAACGCCCUUCACCUAUGCAGGACCAGUAAGGACUGGAACUAAGGCUCAGACAUGGACCCCUUUUACUUCUCUACCUACAUUUUCUUCUUAUAUCACAUCAGUCAUUCUAAUUGCCUUAAUACAAUUUAUAAGCUAAUGGUUCCCAAAUUUAUAUCUUAACCCUAACCUCUGGCCUUAUCUCACAGACUGUCUAUUUGGAAUCUCCACUCCACCCCUAAUUCACAUAUCAAAUUUAAGAUGUCAGAAAGGAGGGGUAAAAAAAAAAAUCUCUAGAUUUAAAAUCUCUGGACUUCCCUCUCCAAGCCUUUCCUUCUGCUACUGUUUCUCAUUAGAGUAAAUGGCACCAGUACUAUGGGACAUUCUCAGUCAGAGCUCUCUCUAGGCCUGAAGACCACCCAACACUCACCAUGUAAUUAAUUACCUUUUUCUUUCUUGCGGGAGACAAAAGGAAUUAACCAACUGUAACUAAUCUACUAUUCUGUAGGCAAACCCAUGAAGACCUGCGUGCUCCUUUCCCAAAAGAUAAAUUUUGUAAUCAGGGAAGAAAACAUGCAAUACCUACAAAAUUUCUACCAAAGAUUUUUUUCUUUGUCCAGAAAAUAAGCUUGUUCUUUAAUAAAAUGGAGGAAAAUGCAUCACCACUAAACGGCUUUGAUUGAGAUAUCUGACCACAGUGGAACCACGUUUCUACAGGGAAACAAUUAUCUGGUGCUGAGUGUCAUUGGGAAGUAGUAUUAAUCCUAUUCUAAAUGGGACUUGUACUCUACACUUCAUCCCUGGCCUGGCUUGCCUAUUUCUUUCAUUUAUUAUAUCUGCCUGGUAAAUGUUUAAGUUUUCAGCUCUUGGACUAAACCAUGAAGCUUUGCCCCACAUCUUGUUGGUAAAAGGGGCAAAUUAGCCAGACCCAAGAUAACAAUGCCUGAUUUUCCUUACCCACUCCCCAAUUCACCCUCAAAACAACGCUUGGACCCUAUGUGGCUUUAGAAUGUUUACCUGAAGUUUUUAGUAAAGAAACACCCAACCUCUCCCUCAGGGUCCAGUGUAUGAGAAGACUGCUGCAGAUGGAUGUGGGACAGAGAGAAGGGAACCCUGUUCCAGAGUCGCUAGACAGACAUUUCAUCCUGAAUUUCAAGGUGAUGACAAUGGGUUGAGAAGUGACUUGUCAAUGAGAGAGGAAGCGAGCAUGACCCCUGACUUUCCUCUUCCUGGAGAUGGGCUAUAGAUAAUCCCUGUGUGAAAGAUGGAGAGGAACAAAAUCACUGAUCUUUUACUAUCAGAGCUCCGGAAUGAAUGGCAAAUGUAAAAGCUUUCACUUCCUCACAUCUAGCCUCACAACUGUCCUGAAGCUGUAGUCAUAAGUGCCAAUGUCUAGACACAGAGGUGUUUACUCUGUACCCUGGCGCUCGCUGCAGCAUUUGACCUCACAGAAUCCUCCCCACCCGUAAGUUUCCCCCUUUCAGUUGCACCAUCCUAGUUUUCUUUUCCAUCUUCCUGGCUCUUCCUUACCUCUCCUUAACUUGGCUUCUCUUAUGAUUCCUGUUCCAUAAACAGACUUGUCUCCCUAGACUCUGUUGAUUGGAUAUCUCCUGAAUGUCCCAUAAUCACCUUAAGUUCUACUUUUCUUUCUCCCUUUAUUAGUUUCUAUAGACUAACCUUAAUUAAUGCUUAUAGUGACCCAAGAAAAGGAGAGCAUCUCUAUGAAAGCCCUUCUUGGGGUCUGAUAACAAUCCAAAUCACAGGGUGAAUUCAGAACAAUUGAAGACAAAGGGAAAAGAAACUUUAACAUUAACCUUCUUAGAAUAGAUAUUUUCAAGGGAGGAAGAGCACAGGAAAAGAGCCUAUUUACUACAGUGGACAGGAUAUGUAGUUUGAAAAAGCAUAGUAAAAAUUAUAAUUCUACAAUUAGAAGACAAAAAGUACCAUUUCAAUGACUACAAAUAAAAUUUUUUACUAAA